UGGGGAAUCUUGCACAAUGGGGGAAACCCUGAUGCAGCGACGCCGCGUGAACGAUGAAGCCCUUCGGGGUGUAAAGUUCUUUCGACAGGAACGAUAAUGACGGUACCUGGAGAAGAAGCUGCGGCUAGCUACGUGCCAGCAGCCGCGGUAAUACGUAGGCAGCGAGCGUUGUUCGGAGUUACUGGGCGUAAAGAGUGCGUAGGCGGCGAGCCAAGUUUGGUGUGAAAUCUCCCGGCUUAACCGGGAGGGUGCGCCGAAAACUGGUUGGCUGGAGUAUGGGAGAGGAAAGCGGAAUUCCUGGUGUAGCGGUGAAAUGCGUAGAUAUCAGGAGGAACACCUGCGGUGUAGACAGCUUUCUGGACCAAAACUGACGCUGAGGCACGAAAGCGUGGGUAGCAAACA
Molecule: ribosomal RNA, 402 nt
Filed under: uncultured bacterium
Lineage: Bacteria
Description: bacterial SSU rRNA
Rfam family: Bacterial small subunit ribosomal RNA
Source: RNAcentral